RNAcentral lists this ribosomal RNA (668 nucleotides) under uncultured bacterium. RNAcentral's name for it is "bacterial SSU rRNA". It matches the Rfam family "Bacterial small subunit ribosomal RNA", at positions 141 to 808 of the family's 1533-position model. The record is from RNAcentral.
GAACAACCCGCCGAAAGGCGGGCUAAACCCGCGUACAUGCCACCGGGGCAUCCCGGAGGCAGGAAAGGCUUCGCCGGACAGGGAUGGGCAUGCGGCGCAUUAGGCAGUAGGCGGGGUAACGGCCCACCUAACCGACGAUGCGUAGGGGUUCUGAGAGGAAGGUCCCCCACACUGGUACUGAGACACGGACCAGACUCCUACGGGAGGCAGCAGUGAGGAAUAUUGGUCAAUGGUCGGGAGACUGAACCAGCCAAGCCGCGUGAGGGAUGAAGGUACAGAGUAUCGUAAACCUCUUUUGUCAGGGAACAAAGGCGGGGACGUGUCCCCGGAUGAGUGUACCUGAAGAAAAAGCAUCGGCUAACUCCGUGCCAGCAGCCGCGGUAAUACGGAGGAUGCGAGCGUUAUCCGGAUUUAUUGGGUUUAAAGGGUGCGCAGGCGGUCUGUUAAGUCAGCGGUCAAAGCCCGGGGCUCAACCCCGGCCCGCCGUUGAAACUGGCAGUCUCGAGUUGGAGAGAAGUAUGCGGAAUGCGCGGUGUAGCGGUGAAAUGCAUAGAUAUCGCGCAGAACUCCGAUUGCGAAGGCAGCAUGCCGGCUCCACACUGACGCUGAGGCACGAAAGCGUGGGUAUCGAACAGGAUUAGAUACCCUGGUAGUCCACGCAGUAAACG